Molecule: ribosomal RNA, 253 nt
Filed under: uncultured bacterium
Lineage: Bacteria
Description: partial 16S ribosomal RNA
Rfam family: Bacterial small subunit ribosomal RNA
Source: RNAcentral
UACAGAGGGUGCAAGCGUUAAUCGGAAUUACUGGGCGUAAAGCGUGCGUAGACGGUUAUGUCAGUCGGGUGUGAAAGCCCCGGGCUCAACCUGGGAAUUGCAUUCGAGACUGCAUAGCUAGGGUGCGGAAGAGGGAAGCGGAAUUUCCGGUGUAGCGGUGAAAUGCGUAGAUAUCGGAAGGAACACCAGUGGCGAAAGCGGCUUCCUGGUCCAGCACCGACGUUCAGGCACGAAAGCGUGGGGAGCAAACAGG